RNAcentral lists this ribosomal RNA (434 nucleotides) under uncultured bacterium. RNAcentral's name for it is "partial 16S ribosomal RNA". It matches the Rfam family "Bacterial small subunit ribosomal RNA", at positions 29 to 507 of the family's 1533-position model. The record is from RNAcentral.
AGCGAACGCUGGCGGCAGGCCUAACACAUGCAAGUCGAACGAACCUUUCGGGGUUAGUGGCGGACGGGUGAGUAACACGUGGGAACGUGCCUUUAGGUUCGGAAUAACUCAGGGAAACUUGUGCUAAUACCGAAUAUGCCCUUCGGGGGAAAGAUUUAUCGCCUUUAGAGCGGCCCGCGUCUGAUUAGCUAGUUGGUUGAGGUAAUGGCUCACCAAGGCGACGAUCAGUAGCUGGUCUGAGAGGAUGAUCAGCCACAUUGGGACUGAGACACGGCCCAAACUCCUACGGGAGGCAGCAGUGGGGAAUCUUGCGCAAUGGGCGAAAGCCUGACGCAGCCAUGCCGCGUGAAUGAUGAAGGUCUUAGGAUUGUAAAAUUCUUUCACCGGGGACGAUAAUGACGGUACCCGGAGAAGAAGCCCCGGCUAACUUCGUG